Triticum aestivum (bread wheat) is the source of this 124-nucleotide non-coding RNA. NCBI's taxonomy places the organism in Eukaryota, Viridiplantae, Streptophyta, Magnoliopsida, Poales, Poaceae. The record is from Rfam.
UUUAUACUCCCUCCGUUCGGAAUUACUUGUCAUAAAAAUGAAUAAAAAUGAUGCAUCUACAAGUAAAAUACAUCUCGAUACAUUCAUUUCUUGGACAAGUAAUUCCGACUGGAGGGAGUACGAG